This is a non-coding RNA of Lactuca sativa (garden lettuce), 3639 nucleotides long. The record is from RefSeq and is a predicted model, not a curated record. NCBI's taxonomy places the organism in Eukaryota, Viridiplantae, Streptophyta, Magnoliopsida, Asterales, Asteraceae.
GUCUUUCUCUCCUUAUCCCCCGAGCAUUUCGGUCCCUCGUGAUUCGACUUCUCUUUCUGUAGCUUAGUAUAGUAAGGUGAGCGCUGAAGCGCUGCACGAAUCUUUCUUAGAAAGAUUCAGCGACGAAGUUCUGCCCCUGCAGAGCCCGACUCCUAGCUAAAACCCCCUUGUUUCGUCGAAGGAAAAUAGAAUCGUUAGAAGCAAGCGCUGCCCGAUUUUGGAACCAUCACCUUAACAAGUAGUGGCGCAUGAGCAUAGGUGUGAUGUUUUGGACAAGGGAUUACGGAUAUAGGCCUGUAGAUAUGAAAUAAUGUAGUUAUGGGUUCUCCUUAAAGGAUUUUGAAGGUAAAAUUGCUUAUGGAUACUUUGAUUCAUAGUGGUCUCCCAAUAAAGGUUCCUGAUGCAAGGUAUUUCAUGAUUUUUUGAUUUUGAUUCUUUUUUUUAUGUAGUUAUAAUUUUGGGAUUUUUAUGGAGCCAAACCCGAUACUUUGGGUUUUUGUUUUGGAGACUUUUUUCGGUAAUGACAAUAUUCGAUGAUUUGUGUCUAAUUUUCAUAUAAAUAAAAAAAUAUAUUCACAAGUUAUUGGUUGGAAACCGAAUAGAAGAAGUUUGAUUCCAUAUUUAAAUUUGCAUAUGAAAUACAAUUAUUAUUAUGCCUCCAAUUGUCACGAUGGUGUUUUUAUCUGUUUACCAUUUCUCUUCUUCUUCAGUUUGUUGUUUAUUACUGUGUUGUGUGGUAUUUAAUUGUGAUAAUCUAAUGGUAUUCAAAAUCCUCUUGUAUAAGAUUUUGGUGAUGGAAAACUUGAAUUUGACGUUGCAUUCUAUGUGUUUGAUAAAAUGCCAAUGAGAAGUUCUUUUUCAUAUCAAAGAUUGUUACAAACUUCAAUGUAUGUUUGUGUGUGUAUGUGUGUUCCUUCUUUACUCCAUGAAUUUGAAAUUCGGUGUGAAGAUUGAGACCAGUAAAACUUUUGUUUGAUAUUUAAAUGCUUUUGCUUUUAUGAAAACCAUCAUAUGGUUUAAAAAAGAGCAUGUAUUUUUCUAGCAACUAAAAGUAAGUCAUUUAUAAGAACUAAUUUUCUUUCAAAAAAAUUGGAAUCAUGAACACGUUAUAAUUUAUUUCAGUUUUCUAUGUUUAUUAUUACAUGAUUAACAUUUGUGGUUGUCACUAACAAAUGAUAAUAAGACUUGAUGAUUAACAUCCACCAUUAUCUAACACAACUGAUACAAUUUUAUUACUUUGCAGUUUUUUAUUAUUUUUAUUAUUUAAUUACUUUUCUAAAAUCUUUUUUUGGUCCGUUUAAAUUCUUCCAUUGUGUGGUGUCUAUGUGCAUCAGUUGAGUGUAGAAGUCAAUUAGCCUAACUGAUUUCUUAGGGUAUGAUCCUUCUAAGACACAUAUUUUUACUUUUAUAGCCAUAUUAUUAAUUAAUUGUUUUUAACUAAUAUCAUUGAGUCAUAUAUCUAUGAUUUUGUCUUUAUUGUUUUGAAAAACAUUUGCCAAAAUAGGGUGAAAAUGAACCAUUAAAUUGUUGUUAUCAGGUGAAAACUUAAGUUGCUCAUAUCAACACCAUUUCAAUUGAUCAUGAAGAUUAUAAGUCACUUACAUAAUGUUUGGUGAAAACUUAAGUUGCUCAUAUCAACACCAUUUCAAUUGAUCAUGAAGAUUAUAAGUCACUUACAUAAUGUUUUCAGUUGACUUUGAGUUGGUUGGAGUUAAAAUAUAAUUUAUUUGAUGAGGAUUACUAUCACAUAGGAUGAAACAUAGGAUUGUUGUGUUAAAGAAAGAAAUAUCAUCUUAAUAGCGGUGGCAUCACCAUUUUAAUUUUUAUUGUGCUUGUAGAAAAGGUGUCGUGAAGUUGUUGAAGUUGUGAUAGGGUUUAAUGUUACUCUUCAAGGAGGCCGAAUUCAAGGCAAAACUAAGGGUGAUAACGACUCAAAAACCAACCUCUUUUAAAGAAAACAGUUCAAAAAUAGUAGCACACUUAAUAUUAUUGUUUUGUUUUUUAUAUAAUCCUAUUUUUAAGUGAUAAAUGCUAAAAAAUCCAUCUCUUUUAGAGGCUGUCAAAAAAUGUCUUAUUACAAAUUGUUUAUUUGUUUUUUUUAUAGGAUCUUACUUUUAUUGAUUUGUUUGUUUGCAAUCUUACUUUCCUAAAUUUGUUUUUAAAGCAUUUUACUUUGGUUUUUUGUAGAAUAUUUCGUGUGUCCCAAAGAAUCAUAUUUUUUUUAAAACAUAUAUACAUGUAAUUUGUGUCCAUGUAUGCAACAUGCUACAUGAUAUCCAAAAAUGUGGACUAAUUUAUGUUUAUGAUAAGCAUUAGUGGAUUAUAUUAAUUUGUGUUUGUAUUUUAUUGUGCUUUUCUCAUUCUUCAUAUACAAAAACGGCAUAUUCCCCUUAGUGUUGUUUCUUCAUAUAUAAAAACGGCAUAUUCCACUUAGUGUUGUUAUUAAAUGAAAUUGUGAUUAUGUAAGCAUAAAAAUAUUGAUUUUGAUUGUUGUAACAUGCAGUGCGAUUGAAAUGGUCAAAAUGGAUGGUAACUUUAUUCUUGUGGUGAAAAUGAUUCACCCCAAAUUGAUUUAAACUAAUAAUUAAACAAUUACAUAGAAUAUUUAACGACAUUUUUGGAAGUGUGCCCUUACUUGUAAUGUCCCAGAGUUUCAGAAAGGUAUGGAAGAAAUGCAAAACCUUAAAAAAGACCGUUUUAAGCAAGGUUGUAAAAAUCGAUCGGCGGUAGCUCGAAGGUCGACUGGGGUCCAACGAUUAAUCGGUUUGGCGGGACUUAAUCGGAGGAUUAAUCGAAGACCAUGAAUUACUAAUAAAACUAUUUUAAAACUUAAUAUAUCAUAAGAAAAAAUAGUAUUUGAAAAUUUAAAAUUUGAAAAUUUGAAAUGUAUGGUAUAAUAUUUGAAUAUUUAAAAAUUUAAAAAUUUAAAAUUUUGAAGUUUUGUAAAUUUUGGUGUAAUAUUUGAAAUUUUGAAAAUUUGAUUUUUUUUGAAAUCUUCCCGCCAAGGACCGCAGAGGACCACCAAGGACCGUCGAGGUCCGCCUAGUCUGAGUUUGACCGAUAUUGACCAAUUUCCGCCAAACACCCCUAAUCAUAAUCAGCUGCAGACCACCUAGCGCCUAGGCCGAUAUUUACAACACUAGCUUUAAGCGGUUGAGUAAGAUAACACCUCAACAUUGGGCUAGGUCCCACUUCACAAGUCGGAAACAUCUAUCUACUUUUAUAUAUUUUAUAUUUUGUAAUGCUAUAAUUCGGAAAUAUGUAUUUAUAUGCAGUUGCUUUUCAUGACAGGGAGAUCACAUUGUUAUGCUUUACUUACUAAUUUAUGUGAUUCCUUCAAUAGUAAGUUAGGUGAGGGGUGUGAUACACCUAUUAUCACGUGCUUGGAGUUUAUCGAGGAGUACAUUAUGAAGAAGAUUGUGAAUGUGGAAAAAGAAAUUGCCAGAGCUGCAAGCCUUUUGAUUCUAAUAACCUCCAAAACAUUGGAAAAAAUCAAGCUUGAGGUAGAAAAAUAUGUAGCUAAUUAUUGUGGUAAUGAGAAGUACCAAGUUGUUGGUUCUUGGAAUGACUAAUGUGUGAUAACAACCAAAUCUAGUCAAACAAAGUCAACAAACAUCAACUAGGUCAACUUAACUUGUA